UUUGCAAAUUCACAUCAUAAUGUAUCCCUUGGUCAAGGCAAUUAAGCCUAUAAAAGGUCUGUGGUGAGGUGAAAAUUACACCAAUUUCUGUAGUGGACCUGCUCCAAUUAAUGGUUUCAGCCUCAUUUUGAGAUGAGAUUAAAUUAUGUCCGCAAAAUCUGGGUAACGGCCUUCGAUCAAGUUCAAUAUAGCCGCGAUCCGUUCGGAGGUAGGACGCUAGUAGGUAGUCGAUACGAAAAGGACCACAUUCUAGGCACGACGGAAGUUGGGAAAUGUGUUCUGGAAGUUGAAUUUUGAACGGGAACGAGGCCGGGUUUUCUUCAAGAAUGAAUGGAUGAAGUUCUUCAGGGUCGAGUUCUUUCUUUAUUCCUGCAAUUAAUGUUUAAUUAAAAAUGAAUACAAGUUAAUUAAUAGAAAAGCUAAUUAAAAAUUAAACACAAGUUAACUAAUAAAAGUCUGAUUAAAAAUUAAACAAAAGUUACUUUAUAAAAGUCUAAUUAAACAUUAAAUGAGACGGAUUUAAGAAAAAUUUAGUGAAUUAAAAAUUGUUCCUUUCCCAUAGCAAUUAAUAUUCAGCAAGAUAUCUUGCCACGUCAACCCUACAAAUACAUAUGUAUUAAUGCUUUAGAAAUUUGCAAACAAUUUUCCUACAUCAAAUUAUGCCAACCUUACAAAUUUUAUUUUAAUUUCAUUUUUGAAUUCCUGUGGAGUAGCAAUAAUGAUAACCGGAAUUGAUUUUUGAUUGUUUGACGAAAAUCCGUCGUCGAGGUUACGGUUUUCAUUAUUGCCACUCUGCGAUGACUUAGUUAGUGUGUCUGUCUGUCAAUACGAUACAAAUUGCAAAUCACUGUAUAGGUUUUUUUUGCAACCACAACGGUACCUAUAAUUUGGUUCCACUCCGCCCCUUUCUCCAGAGGGAGGGCCAAAAGUCGCAAAAACGGCAAACGGGGACACGGAUUUCCAGAUGAUGGAAAAAUAUAUUGAAAUUCUACUUUUACCAAAAAAUUCCUGUUUUUUAUCUACAACCUGAAUCGUUUUUCGGAAAUUCUAAAAAACAAAUUCAGAAAAUAACUUUGGAUGACAAUUUCAAAUCUCACAUCACCCCAUAAAUAGGACAUCGGUGAAAAGCUCUCGGCAAGCGGAUUAAGAAAAUAUAUACUUUGUAGGGUAUGGGACCACGCGCUGCAAACAUAAUAACAAAAGAAUAUUUUUGAGUUUUCCCAUUCGUGCUUCCGUGUUAGCUCCCAAUCCACUGUCGUGUUAAAUUUUUGAUAGCUCAUAUUUUCGUUGUUUGCCCUCCAGACUUGCAGGAGGUGGUCCCAGACCCCACAAAGUAUUUAUAUUCUAAAUCCCCUUGCUGAUAGCUUUCCAACGAUAAUGCAUUUAUGGGGUGAUGUGAGAUUUGAAAUUUUUUAAGUUAUUUUUUGAACCUUUUUCGAGUUUCCAAAAACGCUGGAUUCGGGUUGUAGAGAAAAAAAUUAGGAAUCUUUUGGCGAAAGUACACUCAACACAAGAAUUUGUCAAAUCAACACCGCCGUUCUCAAUAUAAGACUUAACCGCCUUGGUUACUAUUGUUGGAAUCGUUAAAUGAGCUGGGAAUCCUGCCGUUCGCAGAUUCUCCCCACCACUACCCCUCUUUUGGGGGCUAGUGGUGGAAUAAGAGUCUCUUUCAGUUGCUACCUCUCAACAUGCACGCUUGGCACAGUUGGUAGCGCAUCCACUCUUCACCCGUGGCGGCGUGGGUUCCAUCCCCAGGCUACUCACAUUUAUUUUCGCUCAAUUUUUUUGCACUUUUAACUUGCCAGGACUAGAGGUGAGGGCGACCCGAACCGUACCCGAAAAUUUCCAAAACAAAAACCCGAACCAACCCGAAACCGCGGGUAAUAAACCCGAAAAUCAUAAAAAUGUAAAACCCGACCCGAACCCGAAACGGAAAUUUUGUAAUGACUAUUGGAGUUUUACUCCUAAAUUUAAAACCGUGUAAUAAUUAAUAAAGCCUCAAACCUUUUAUCAAAGAAGAAAAGUUAAUAAUUGCCAAAAAAAACCUGUUAAAAAGUUUGAGCUUACAAUAAAGUAACUCUUAAACAAAUAAAUUAAAUAAUCAAAUGCAGUUAAAUAAUGUGCAAAUAUAUUUAUGUACAUACAGUAUUUGCAAUAUAAGUACACAAUAUAAGCACAACAUAAGGACAUAAGUACAAACAUAAGUGUAUGCCUCCAAAUUAAACAAAUUUAGGGUUUUCGGGUUUUUAGGGCCCGAACCCGAAAACUCUUUUUCAAACCCGAACCGACCCGAAACCGUUUGUUAGGGUUUGUCAAAACCCGAACCGACCCGAAACCGUUAUCGUUGAAACCCGCCCGACCCCGAACCCGAACGGGUUCGGGUUCGGGUCGGGUUUACAGGGUUGGACCUGAACCCGCGCUCACCUCUAGCCAGCACUCAUAAAAUAAGUCUGGGGACAUGAGAAGAAUGUUCCGACACUGGUUAUAUGCUCCUCCCUGUCUUCACAUUUUAUGUAAUGAAUACAGCGUGAAAUAAUAUGUUACAAUGUAUAAAACAAUUAAUCAUAGGAUGCAAAUAUUCUAUGCAAAACCACAGCUAUACGUAAAAUCAUGCGCUGGAAAUAUUGCCACCAAAUGCAUUGCUGCUCUCAGGAUUCCAUUUAUUGAUUUUGCAAAGAAAAUCCCAUCACAUCUUGAUGUGACGCACUUCACCCUCGACCUCGACUUCUGCUGAUGAGUAGCAAGCACCGCUGCGCAAUAUUUCGCUCCAUAUUUGCAGUUUUCUUUUACGUGUCAACCACAACACCAGUUUAACCAUGGUGCAGUUUAAAAUUUUAAGAAUAUGUUCGUUUGGGCUGCUUAUAUUUCUUCUUGCAUCCUGUCAACCAAAAGGCAAACCUCGUCCCAUCGUGGUACAGGAAGGGCCAGAAAUUUCCACAAACCCUGGUCGCAACCAACUACCAACCACUAAGGUGGUUACUACAUCUUCACAAUCAUCACCUACUUCUGGUGGUCGUGCUUAACCACUUUCUCCAACGAGAACUACUACUCCGUCACCACUUUCUCCAACGAGAACUGCUACUGCAUCACCACUUUCUCCAACGAGAACUGCUACUCCGUCACCACUUUCUCCAACGAGAAGUACUACUCCGUCACCACUUGUUCCACCAGCUAAUACUGAUCUUGACACCUAGUUUGCAUAUGGUUUAAUGUUUUAAAAAGUCUUUCGGGUUUUUUGUACAAAAAUAUUUUUUUUCAAUCAAAAUUUAAACUCUUGUUAAAAUUAUAUUUUUAUAAUAAUGGCGUUCAAUUCGUGUGAACGAGUGCAAAAUAAUCAAUUUAGCACAUUUUAUAAGUUUCCUUUGUCAAAAAAAUUACUCCAGAAAAUCUCGAAAUUGAGCUGGUGUCACAGCAUGAGUCUUAAAAUGAAUAUGAGAUGUUCUGCUGAUAUAAUUAGCUCAUAAAACUGUUAAAAACUUUAAUCUUCUUGAAGGUGAAAUGUAAAUACAGUAGGAAAUUUAAGUUGAAAAAUA
This is a long non-coding RNA of Folsomia candida, 3533 nucleotides long. RefSeq lists it as uncharacterized. The record is from RefSeq and is a predicted model, not a curated record. The transcript is spliced from 2 exons. NCBI's taxonomy places the organism in Eukaryota, Metazoa, Arthropoda, Collembola, Entomobryomorpha, Isotomidae.